AUGUGUGCAGCAAAAUGUGAUGGUGGUCUUGGCUUUAGAGACCCGGAAGCAUUUAAUCAAGCUCUCUUAGCAAAGCAGGCAUGGAGGAUCUUGCUAUAUCCAGCCUCGCUGUGUGCACGUGUCCUCAAGGCGAGAUACUUUCCGGAUAACUCCAUUAUGUCGGCUACGUGCCCCUCGGGGGGAUCGUUCACUUUUAGAAGUAUACUACAUGGG
RNAcentral lists this ribosomal RNA (213 nucleotides) under Triticum aestivum (bread wheat). RNAcentral's name for it is "partial small subunit ribosomal RNA". Lineage: Eukaryota; Viridiplantae; Streptophyta; Magnoliopsida; Poales; Poaceae. The record is from RNAcentral.